GCUCAGAACGAACGCUGGCGGCAGGCUUAACACAUGCAAGUCGAACGCCCGAGCAAUCGGGAGUGGCAGACGGGUGAGUAACACGUGGGAACAUACCCUCAGGUUCGGAACAACGCCGGGAAACUGGCGCUAAUACCGGAUACGCCCUGUGAAGGGGAAAGGCUUGCUGCCUGAGGAGUGGCCCGCGUUCGAUUAGCUAGAUGGCGGGGUAACGGCCCACCAUGGCGACGAUCGAUAGCUGGUCUGAGAGGAUGGCCAGCCACAUUGGGACUGAGACACGGCCCAAACUCCUACGGGAGGCAGCAGUGGGGAAUAUUGGACAAUGGGCGCAAGCCUGAUCCAGCCAUGCCGCGUGAGUGAUGAAGGCCUUAGGGUUGUAAAGCUCUUUCGCACGCGACGAUAAUGACGGUAGCGUGAGAAGAAGCCCCGGCUAACUUCGUGCCAGCAGCCGCGGUAAUACGAAGGGGGCUAGCGUUGUUCGGAAUCACUGGGCGUAAAGGGUGCGCAGGCGGGUUCAUAAGUCAGGGGUGAAAUCCCGAGGCUCAACCUCGGAACUGCCUUUGAUACUGUGGAUCUUGAGUCCGGAAGAGGUGAGUGGAACUGCGAGUGUAGAGGUGA
Molecule: ribosomal RNA, 618 nt
Filed under: uncultured bacterium
Lineage: Bacteria
Description: bacterial SSU rRNA
Rfam family: Bacterial small subunit ribosomal RNA
Source: RNAcentral